UUCACAAGCAUUAAGCAUAAGAUAAAUAAUCCACAGCAGAAGAAAGAAAUUCAGGAAAAUUUCAUUAAGAAAUCAAAAGUUUCAAGAAGAAUCCACUAACACCCUAAUAACAAGAUUAGUUCAAAGCCAACAUGAUGAAAUCAAUCAAAUUAAAUAUAAACAUAAACUCCAGAAAAGGGAAUACAGAAGAAAUUAAGAAAUCAAACUCUAGGUCUUCAAUGCUCUCCAAAAUCUCUAAUAACUUCUAAUAAUGAAUGAAUCCCCUAAUUAACUCUUAAAAACGUAUUUAAAAAGAAACCCUAAAAUAUCUAACAAUUUUUCCCUUCUGCAGGCCACGUACAGACAUACGCGCCGCGGCGCGCCUCUUUAGAUAUGCGCAGCCUCCUCUCUGUUUUCAGUGAGCGCCGCGACCCUUCCUACAUGCGCCGCGGCCAUUGAAAACUUCAGAAAAUGGCCCUCUCUGCUUUUUCCUUGCGCCGCAGCUCUUCAUUCAAGCGUCGCAGCCCCUCUAAUUUUUUCCAAAAGUUUGUUCCCGAACUCCAAAACAAACAAUUAUCUCCGCAAAUGAGUCUUCAACUUUCUUCUUGUCAACUUUUAGCAUAAAUUUCCCAAUUUAAGCUGAUUUUCCUGUCAUUUUCCAAACUUCACGUUUUCUUCUCCUAUUUCCUGCAAACAUACGAAAACAAGCAUAAUACCGCAUAACACUCCACCAAAAUGACUCAAACUUAACCUAAACACAUGUUAAAAACUAUGCUAAAAACAGACUCAUCAGGGGGUUAAAGACUUAGUUCAUCUAUUGAGGAGGAUUCAAACCAGCUUGAGGUAAGAAAUUGUCCAUGAAUUUUAAGCUAUACUCUGUUUUCUUUAUAGUUUUUGGCUUAUAGUUUUGAUGUGGAUAGUUGGAAUCAAUGGGAGUUUUUGUAUAAGAUUGAUUGGGUUUUGAUGAGGGUAUGAUGUAUAUGAAGUUUAGGGGUUGAAUUGGGUGUUUUGGUAAGGUUUUGGAUUGGUUUGGAAGGUUGGUUUCAAGGGGAAUCGCAAGGAGGGAAAACAGAGGUGUUGCUGGUCUGAAGUUGGCGUAGCAGCGCUAAGCAGGGCAGAGAGUCAGGCCUCUCUGACUUGGAAAUAGCGCCUCAACGCCAUUUAAUAAGGCUGCAGCGCUGGUCCAUUUUCCAGCAAGCCUAUUUUAGGGCUCGGAAUGACUUUUAAGGCUCGGGGUUUGGUUCCUUUGCCCGUUUGAGUAUUUUAAGAUUCCUAAGAGUGCGGGAUUGAUCCCGGGAGUGUGGUUUUAGAUUGUGAACCAUUUGUUGAUUUACUUUAUUAAUGGAUUAUAAUUGGUUAUGAUUAGGUAACCGCUAAGGGACCAAAAGGUUGAUCGUUCUCAGGAGUCGUUCUUAUUAUAUUUCUCGCUCAAACGAGAGGUAAAGGGAAAGAAAAGCUCACCCAGCCUUGAGUGGAGAGCUUAGGUGGUGAUGUGUACAUAUGCGGCCACUUGACCACCACGACCAAGGAGUUCUCAGAGGAACUAGGGGGUUUACCCUAUUUUUGUCGCUUAGGUCGACGGGUUUGAGUUGUAAAUAACUUGUAAAUGUUUUGAUGAGCUCAUGAAUAGUUUUAUAUACUUAAUAAAGCAUAUCCUUUCCUUUU
Molecule: long non-coding RNA, 1644 nt
Organism: Humulus lupulus (European hop)
Lineage: Eukaryota; Viridiplantae; Streptophyta; Magnoliopsida; Rosales; Cannabaceae
Exons: 2
Source: RefSeq, a predicted model, not a curated record